CUUGGCAUUUCCAAAUCCCAACUCCUUAAGCCCACGCCAAAUCUGCUCAGACCACCAUCUUCACUCUUGGCUGUGAAAAGCAGUGCCUUGAAGGAAAGAAACAGAUGGUCAAAGAGAGGUUUCGUCAAUCACAGCUCCCCUCCCCACUCCUGAAAAGACGAAGCCAUCAUUAAUUUCCAAAUAAUAGUAAAUCCUAGCAGGGGAUGAUGCCAACCGUCUGCAUAACCCGUGCCAGGCACUGGUGCUGUUUUGGCUUUAAAAGAAGGGGGAUGGCCAUGGUUCUUGAAAGAUUUCACCAAAACAUUCGCAGCAAACAUUAUCAAUGGAAGGAGUGAAAGCCGUGGACCAUUCAUAAGAGGUGUUCCAGCCCUCACACACAAGAGAAAACCAGAAACCACUGAGAUAAACACAAAUUCCUAAGAAGGCUGGGCUUGUGGCAGAGUUGUCUGUAUACAUGUGGGAACCAGGCUGGGGGAUAGGACAAAAUUAACGGGGUGAAGGGGCUAUGGCACCAAGGAGCUUGCCUGCCUAUGUGAAUGCACUCAGUUUAAAACAAUAAAACCAAAACAAAACCAAGGAAAAAAAAAAAGCUUGGGGUUAAGAACUAUAACAAGUGGUAAGCUGAUAAAUUUGGAAAAUUUUGUAGGAGAGAAGCCCCGAUUUGUAGCAUUUGCUUAUUUCCAUGGUGUAAAUAUUCCCAUCAUGGCCAAUUUUAAGCUAUUAAUAGUUUAACAACAGGUCAAAUCCUGGAACAUUCAAUUAAUCAGCUCUCUCAAGCCCAUACAAGACAUCUCCAGAGGACCACUGACCCUAGUUCUCUGCCGUCAAUGUAUUUCCCAGUCUUAUCUUCCCUAUUCUUGAAAUAAAAAUUACAAAUUAAAAAAAGAUAGGCCCGGCACGGUGGCUCACGCCUGUAACCCCAGCACUUUGGGAGGCCGAGGCGGGCAGAUCACGAGGUCACAAGAUCGAGACCAUCCUGGCUAACACAAUGAAACUCUGUCUCUACUAAAAAUACAAAAACAAAAUUAGCUGGGUGUGGUGGUGGGUGCCUGUAGUCCCAGCUACUCGGGAGGCUGAGGCGAGAGAAUGGUGUGAACCCGGGAGGCGGAACUUGCAGUGAGUCGAGAUUGUGCCACUGCACUCCAGCCUGGGCGACAGAGCAAGACUACAUCUCAAAAAUAAAAUAAAAAUAAAUAAACAAAUAGAGAUAGGUUUGAAUUGUGGACAAAUAGUUGAACACUGUGAUUCAAAUCCAAAGACUUCUCUGCAAUUUGGGUGUAUGAGUGCCUUCAGUGAGUGCACACUUAGAAUAGAACACCAUAAAACAGGGGUUCUCAAAGUGUUACAUGGGAACUCCUGUGUGUCUCCCAAAUCUUCCAUCUAAGAGGUAAAGACUAUUUUUAUAAUAAUUAUAAUAAUCUAUAAUUUUAAGAGAUUAAUUGUCUUUUUACUCUUAUUCUCCAAUGAGUGUACAGUGGAGUUUUCCAGAGGCUACAUUGACAUAUGAACAGUGUGAUAUUGUCACAGAUUAAUUGUAGGAGCAGAUUUAAGAUUCUACGUGUCUCUUAUGAAGCCUCACAUUAAAGAGAUUUGCAGAAAUAUACCAUAAUGACAUUCUUCUCAAUAUUUUGUUUAGUAUAAUAAUUUUUAUAAGUAUGCUAUUUAUGUUAACAUAAAAUGGG
This 1682-nucleotide long non-coding RNA is filed under the name Homo sapiens (human). RNAcentral describes it as "HSALNT0001955". Lineage: Eukaryota; Metazoa; Chordata; Mammalia; Primates; Hominidae. The record is from RNAcentral.